GUGGGAUUAGCUCAGUUGGUUAGAGCACUAGUUUGUGGCACUGGGGGCCGUGGGUUCGAAUCCCAUAUUCCACCCCA
RNAcentral lists this transfer RNA (77 nucleotides) under Pseudomonadales bacterium. RNAcentral describes it as "tRNA-His". It matches the Rfam family "tRNA". Rfam says of the family: Transfer RNA (tRNA) molecules are approximately 80 nucleotides in length. Their secondary structure includes four short double-helical elements and three loops (D, anti-codon, and T loops). Further hydrogen bonds mediate the characteristic L-shaped molecular structure. tRNAs have two regions of fundamental functional importance: the anti-codon, which is responsible for specific mRNA codon recognition, and the 3' end, to which the tRNAs corresponding amino acid is attached (by aminoacyl-tRNA synthetases). tRNAs cope with the degeneracy of the genetic code in two manners: having more than one tRNA (with a specific anti-codon) for a particular amino acid; and 'wobble' base-pairing, i.e. permitting non-standard base-pairing at the 3rd anti-codon position. Lineage: Bacteria; Pseudomonadati; Pseudomonadota; Gammaproteobacteria; Pseudomonadales. The record is from RNAcentral. RNAcentral also lists the same sequence under 6 other names.